UUAAGUUCUGGACCUGUGGCAUGCCCCUACGUCUGGAACAUCAAACACCUCAAAUCACCCCCUUGACACUUCUGACCAAAAAUAUAGCUCCAUAUCUCCCCCACAUCUGUGCCUGCAAACCAGUGGGUAAAUAGUUUUGUGACAACGAAGAGAAUCGCGAAAGUCUACUCCCAUGCUAACACAUUUCAGGGAGGGUGUUAGACUUUAUUAUCUGAGUACUGCUUACCCAAUCAUCCAGUUGCUUAAAUGAGCAAAUACAUUUAAUUUAAUCAAGUCUCAUUUUCUUCCUAUUGUACUUUCCUCUCCAGAUGACUCACCAUCAUCCCAAACAACAAAAUUGGCAUUCAAAGAUCUGAAGCAUAUCCUGAAUAGGAGAAGAAAAGAAGCAAAACAGGGAAGUUAAGCAUAUUGUCAGAAAGGAAAAAAUACACAGUAAACAAUCACGCAGAUUAUCAUUUGGUCAAGUGAGAUCACGUGACUUCCUUGAUUCCUUGACAUAUUUCACGGACUACCACUUCCUUGAUUGGUUAUGCCAGACAUAUUCCAGAACUAUGUUCCGGACCGAAAUGAAAACAAAGCGAUAACAUUUGUGGCAACACAAGAAGGUUGAUGUGGACACAUACCAAAUAUCGUUGCGUGGUGUUUGAAAAAUCUGAUGAAAAUAAGGAUAAUAUUGUUAAAAUGGUUCAACAUUUUAUGCAUUGUAAGGGAUUACAAUGACCUGGGAGUGAAUGAGAACAUUUUGCAAAACUCUUUACUUGUGUACAUGGUCAUUGUCAUUUACAUGUUGGUAUCAAAAUAUAAUUUUCACAAACAAAAUUACCCUCCAGAGCUCAGUGAUCAUGGGGACCCACAAAAAGUGCAAAUGAAGCCUAGUCAGUUUUGGAUCAUAGGGCCCAUAUUAUCUAGGCAUGAAUUUGAAAUUUUGUCUUUGUUUAUGCUAUCACAAAUGUUAAUGAAUUAAUUACAAUAAAUUAUCAUUUAUUCUCGAGACUAUGCAUAAUAAUA
Anguilla anguilla (European eel) is the source of this 1008-nucleotide long non-coding RNA. RefSeq lists it as uncharacterized. NCBI's taxonomy places the organism in Eukaryota, Metazoa, Chordata, Actinopteri, Anguilliformes, Anguillidae. The record is from RefSeq and is a predicted model, not a curated record. The transcript is spliced from 2 exons.